AAACCUUGAUAUGGACAAAUCCUCAUCAUAUCCUUGUAUCUCUCCCACGCUUCAAAAAGUGAUUCGUUGUCUUUUUGUUUAAGCCCAUUUAUUUGGGCUCUUAGCAU
Lathyrus oleraceus (garden pea) is the source of this 107-nucleotide small nucleolar RNA. The record is from RefSeq and is a predicted model, not a curated record. NCBI's taxonomy places the organism in Eukaryota, Viridiplantae, Streptophyta, Magnoliopsida, Fabales, Fabaceae.